GUCGUGAGAUGUUGGGUUAAGUCCCGCAACGAGCGCAACCCUUGUCAUUAGUUGCUACGAAAGGGCACUCUAAUGAGACUGCCGGUGACAAACCGGAGGAAGGUGGGGAUGACGUCAAGUCCUCAUGGCCCUUAUGGGUAGGGCUUCACACGUCAUACAAUGGUACAUACAGAGGGCCGCCAACCCGCGAGGGGGAGCUAAUCCCAGAAAGUGUAUCGUAGUCCGGAUUGUAGUCUGCAACUCGACUGCAUGAAGUUGGAAUCGCUAGUAAUCGCGGAUCAGCAUGUCGCGGUGAAUACGUUCCCGGGUCUUGUACACACCGCCCGUCACACCAUGGGAGCGGGUUUUACCAGAAGUAGGUAGCUUAACCGUAAGGGGGGCGCUUACCACGGUAGGAUUCGUGACUGGGGUGAAGUCGUAACAAGGUAGCCGUAUCGGAAGGUGCGGCUGGAUCACCUCCUUUCUAGAGUUCGCAUGAAUCUUCGGAUUCCUCAUCAAGCGCUCACACUUAUCGACUGUCAAUCAAGAAGAAAUGCAUGGUGGAUGAAAGUGCAAAUUUAAGCUGUCGCCCUGCGAACGGUUUAGGUUUGAACUUUUCGAGCUCAAUGCUGUUUCGUUCUUUAACAAUUUGGAAGAAGUAAGUAAAGAUUAUUUAUUGAUCGCAUGCGUCGGAAGACGGGUGCGAUGGGUGAUGAUUGUAUGUAUCAACAAACAAGCAACAACGUUGUACUUCUUAACUCUGUACCGUUUCUUUCAGUGCGCAAGCGUUGAGAGGCUAACGUUAUAGGGACAAGCGAAUAAGUGCACAUGGUGGAUGCCUUGGCGAUUACAGGCGAUGAAGGACGUAGUAGCUUGCGAUAAGCUGCGGGGAGCGAGCAAACACGCUUUGAUCCGCAGAUUU
Molecule: small RNA, 901 nt
Filed under: uncultured Herbaspirillum sp.
Lineage: Bacteria; Pseudomonadati; Pseudomonadota; Betaproteobacteria; Burkholderiales; Oxalobacteraceae
Description: bacterial SSU rRNA
Rfam family: Bacterial small subunit ribosomal RNA (bases 1-463)
Source: RNAcentral